UACGUAGGGUGCAAGCGUUGUCCGGAAUCAUUGGGCGUAAAGCGCGCGUAGGUGGCUUCGUAAGUCCGUUGUGAAAGUCAAAGGCUCAACCUUUGAAUGCCGAUGGAUACUGCGAAGCUAGAGUACGGAAGAGGCGAGUGGAAUUCCUGGUGUAGCGGUGGAAUGCGCAGAUAUCAGGAGGAGCACCAAUAGCGAAGGCAGCUCGCUGGGACGUUACUGACACUAAGGCGCGAAAGCGUGGGGAGCGAACAGG
RNAcentral lists this ribosomal RNA (253 nucleotides) under uncultured bacterium. RNAcentral's name for it is "partial 16S ribosomal RNA". It matches the Rfam family "Bacterial small subunit ribosomal RNA", at positions 524 to 776 of the family's 1533-position model. The record is from RNAcentral.